This is a long non-coding RNA of Coregonus clupeaformis (lake whitefish), 749 nucleotides long. RefSeq lists it as uncharacterized. The record is from RefSeq and is a predicted model, not a curated record. Lineage: Eukaryota; Metazoa; Chordata; Actinopteri; Salmoniformes; Salmonidae. The transcript is spliced from 3 exons.
CAGCUGGCCCAGCAAGCGGAAAUCGCUCAGUUCUGCCUCCAGGGAAAGAUGAAUGACAACCUGCAGAUAAAAAGGACAAUAGGCUGGGACCAAAAAGACUCAUGGAACAAACGUUUCACCUUGUGAGAAGCAGAUCUAACAUGAAGAGCCCUUCAGGCCAGAUAAAGGUCAGAUAAACACAAUAGAGAAGAGGGGCAAGUCGUCCCAUCAUCGCCUGCAGCACCAGUCACUGUGAAACUGUUUAGCCAUACAUUAGCCCUGGGCAGGCAGGGGUCCUCUGCCAUCCCACUGGAACAACAUAUGGAGCUAAGAAUUAGCAGCAGCUGUCAGAAGAGUGUGAGAGCAGUUCAUACCUCUGGAGUGAUACAUGGAGGCCUGGGACAGACCACAGCUCCAUAGGAGGAUGAGAGACAGCAACGCAGUCCACAGCAAUGACCAUGAUGAGGUGACCGCACUCCCCGGACGCAACAUAACCAUCCACUGACAAAAACUCCCUCCAAAAGAAGAGAAACCUGGAUUUUCAAUUAUUAAAAUGUUUCGCUUGGAAAAGUCUUCAACUAACUCUUCACACCAAGACAGCUGGGAAGGUGCCUGUUAAGAUAACUAGGGAGCACAUCCACCUGCAGCUACUGUAAUGCCUUAGUGACAACCCAACAUCUCUACAGUCUGUAUUUAUAGACUACUUCCCACCCGUGAACUCUACAAAAAAAUGGGCUGAGGCAUGAAGUUAAAAAAAUGAAUAGAUUCCA